UAUAUGAACUGUGCGUGGAGAGGCCGUGAAGGGUUAACCGCAAAUGGUACUGCGGUUAACCCCUGCCGCAGUACGAAUAGCGGAUGGUUUUGGGGUGCGUUGUGGAACCGCAAGUCGUUUUGCGGUUAAGGCAUGUCGCAGCUGGAUCAGCGUCUGAAACCAACCACCAAUGGAUUCGCGGUUGGUUUGGUUUUGGGGGUGCACGGGAGAAACGCAACUCAAACUACGGUUGGCGUAAAACGCAGCUCAGACUGCGUUGGGGGAAAACGCAGCUCAGACUGCGUUGGAGGGAAACGCAGCUCAGACUGGGAUUGUGG
This 317-nucleotide long non-coding RNA is filed under the name Vigna radiata. RNAcentral describes it as "long non-coding RNA (VRAD_LNC016906)". Lineage: Eukaryota; Viridiplantae; Streptophyta; Magnoliopsida; Fabales; Fabaceae. The record is from RNAcentral.